AAACACGUCAGUGCAUCAUCCAGCAACCACCCCGCUGCUGCCUUCACUCACACAAAUUAGGUUAAAUCCGUCCUUUUGAGAUCAGCAUCUGGAAGGCAAAGAACAAGGGGAAAUCUCUGGUGAAUACAGACAGCAACAGCAAGGCUGUAAGAACACCAGCACUGUCACCGCUCCCUCCCGUCCGCGUCACAGCGGGGUUUGCAACGGGGAGGCUUGUGCCCUGAGGUGGGACCAUCGCGGGGUCCCGAAGCUGCCCGUGCUGUCUAACAGGGCGGAGCGGGGGCAGCCGGGCGGAGCGGAGCGGGCCGGGCUGCGGUGGGCCGGGGCUUCUCGCCGGCGGCCGCGGGCGGGUCCGGGCGGGGCGGCGGCGAGAUGAGGGCGAGCCUGGGCCUCCUGUCCCUCCUGCUGGCGCUGGUGGGAGUUUCCAGCUUCGUCUUCCUCGUGGUGGCCAUCGCGACCGACUUCUGGUACAUCAUCGAUGCCUCCAAGCUGGAGACGUCGCGGAACGGCACGGACGCGCUGAGCUCGCACUCGGGGCUGUGGCGGACCUGCCGCGUGAGGAGCAAAUGUUACCCUUUGAUAAACCCCUUCUGGCAUGAGAAUGCAAACAUCACUGAUUCACACAGGCAGCUUUUAUACAUGCAUGGAACAUUUGUCAUCCUGAUGCCCCUCAGCCUGAUAUUGAUGAUUUUUGGAGGAAUGACCGGAUUCAUCAGUAUUCUUGCCAGGGCCUACCUGCUGCUUCUAAUGACGGGACUGCUUUUUCUUUUUGGAGCUCUUGUUACACUUACUGGGAUCAGUGUCUAUAUUGCAUAUUCAGCUGCUGCCUUUGAAGAAGCUGUCUGCCUCCUGAGGAGUAAAGAUCUCCUGGUAGAAGUGGACAUCAGGUUUGGCUGGUCGCUGGCCCUAGUCUGGAUCUCCUUUGUUGCAGAAGUGCUCACCGGGGCUGUGUUUCUCCUGGCAGCGAGAGUUGUGGGUCUGAAACGGCGAUGUGAGCAGGCGUUGUGAACAACAGAUCUAUUCUACAGUUUAUAUGAUGCUUUUGAAGUACCUGUGUCACGUGUGGACGGCAGGUUGGAGACCAAACAGGACAUGCUCUGUCCAUGCCUGUUGGUCAGCAAGGGUGAGGGAGCUGGAGUCUGCCCAGGACCUCUCUGCUGAGGUGACCACACGCCUGCCCGCUGAAGCUGGAUCUUUCAGACUCCAUCGCCACUGAGGACAAGGCACUAAAGUUAUUACUUGUAAAACUGUCAGAAAGGGAGGAACACAAGCCUGUAAGUAGGCAAAUUACCAUCAGUUAAUGAGUUACAGCUUGUCAGCCAAGAUCUCACAACUGAAUGUAUUUAUACCCUCAAGUCAUCUCCCACCACUCUUGAGAAUUAAAAUGCAUUUAUUCAGCACACCGCCUCUGCAGCCUGGUCCCAUUCGCAUGAUGGUUUCAUGUUUCAUUUGGAGCAGACCAGAGCUGAUGAACAGUGAAGUAUUAAAAAGUAGCAUCUUAGUCCUUGUGAUAGUCAAAGCUGGCUGAAAGACUCCACGGUUGGGGUUGGAGGGACGGAAGGCAGUUCCCCACAGGGCUUUUGGCCCAUUAUUUUCCUGUUUUCAUUUUUGCCAAGGACAAAGCAAACACUUGUCACGGAAGGCUGAGACUCUCUCAGUGUAAUGCUCCCCAGGUGUUGAAAGGAAUUUGUCUGCCAGUAGCUGAACAGCAUUUGCUAAUGGUUUAUGCUUCCAGACAACACAUCUGGCCGCUGAAGGAGCGAACGUUUCUCCAUCCAACCUGGCCUUCUCAAAUAUUUAUAAGCUAAUGUUGUCUGUAGUGCCUGCAGCAUGUAGAGAGGCUGAACGGAAUUGCACUGUGGAGGAGUCUGUUUCCACAGCCUUUUGGAAUUGGCUACAUCAGCACUGUGAAAACCCUUGGCAUCAUAAACCACAGCUCCUGCAUGACUAGUAUUAUACAGUGAAGCAUUUAAUUAUGCAAAAAAAAUCCACAUAAAAAGAAUUUUUUUAACUGUCAGGCAAAAUCCAUAGAAGGAACAAACUUUGUAGAACUUGCAAUAACACGUCUUUGGAGUUAUCUGCCUUUCUCUUUGUAAACAGUAUAUUACAGACAUGGCAACAGCUGCAGCCAGCAGACUUGGAAGCUCUAUCUCCUUCCUGUCUGUGGGAAACUUCACAUAUGACAGGACCUUGAUUUGGUCCAGGGCACUUCUGGUAAAACGGAAAAGUUCUGCAUAAGUAACUGAGAAGACCAGGCCUGUUUCAUUCCGAUGGGAGACCUAUUCGAUACAGUGUGCAGUGUGAAAGUAUAAAUAUUUCCUUCUCAAGACUUGGGAAUAAUGCAAUAUUUAAUAAAAACAGAAGAAGAAAGAAAUAGCUACAUGGUGCGUUCUGAGCCGACAGAGGUAUUCACAACCCUAUCUUUUAGAUUCAGACCUACAAGAUUGCCUCAUACUCAGAUAUUCAUUGCCUAAACUGCUGCUAUCAUUUAUGCAAACCCAAAGUGACUAUAAUUUAUGCAAACCCAAGUGACAGGACUUAUUACUGAGAGUUUCAUUUUGCUGAACAAGUGACAAAAAACCCCCCGUUUACUUGAAUCACUCAGUCCCCCUGAUCAUAUGCAUCAAGCAGACAUGCUGGUGUCAGUCCUGGAGUUCCCAGCACACAGCAGCAAGGAGGGUCUGAACCAGUUGGACCUGACGGUCCUGCAGGCAUCACUGAAAUAACAGGUGCAAACAAGUCAGACAUCGCCACCAAAGACCACGUCUUAAAGACAACUGUCGUGCCUGACUUUUGUGACUUGCCACAGAUGAACCUGUAAGUCAAAGUUGGUGUUAAUAAUCCAGCUGAAUAGCAACAUCUUUGGUGAAUGGGCUGAUUAACAAAAAGGCACAGUAUGGCGUCUUUAUUGUCCUGCUUGCGUGUCACAUUAGCUGCAGAGACAUGUCACUGUAGCUCUGUGCAGGGAGCUCUGCUGGGUUGGCUGCUUCUCAAAAGUGAGAUUUGUUAUUCUCCCUCAGAGUUGUCGGGCUCGCUGUGUGGGUAGCCAGGUGGCUGUUACAUCAGCCAUAUAAAUGAGAAAAAAGUCCACUUUCUAUGCAGAUAUCCAUUGAAAAACAAUGCCCAGACCUACCCUUCAGAGUCUGUCUCAGGCUCACUUUCCUGCUCUCCUGUUCACCAGAAAGUCCUUGUGCUCCUCCUCGGCAGCAAUAGCAGUGCAGCAGGACCCUCAGUCACCAUAACAACUGGGAUAUCUGUCUUAUAAUUCAAACUGCCCUCUCUAACUUCAAGGGCUUCUUCCUACACACAGUCUAGAGCUCAUCAAUCCUUCCCUGAGCAAUUCUACGUUCUUUGUUGGAGCAGUAACUCGCACACCCACUCUUUCUAAAGCUGCUUCUCUGCCAUUUGAUUUUCACAAGCCUGAUGAACUGUAUACUCACCCAUUUGGGAAGAGGAUUGAGUUUGAUACAGGUAAGCCUUAGUCUUUUCAAAGACCGGCUAACCCUGUGAUUAACCCCAUUGUCUUGGGUUUGCCUGUGGGAACGGUGGCCCCAAGGAGUUCAGAAAAUAAUCCCACAGAGACCAAACUGCUCACAUAGCAAAUCCCGUUGUAACUCCUAAUUCCUUUGGAAUUUAAACAACAUGAUAAGCAUUAAAACAUUAAAGGCUCUUAGAAAGCAGCAUGUCCCUCCAAAAGGACAAAUGCAUCCCCAAAAUCUUACUUAGCCACUAACUAACUUUGUGACAUUGGACUAACUUUUAUCAGUUUCUGCACAUCAUCUUGGCAGUGUUCCUACUCAAUUGCUUCGAGUUGAAUAAAUGACUUUACUAAACCUCCCCAAUAGCUCAUUUAGAGUCUGAAUCAUUUCCAUCAGAUUUUCUGUCAUUAUAUGUGGAGAUUUCAUCUGGCACCAUCAGUUGCAACCCAUACAAGCACUGGAAGUCAAUACAAAUAUUUUCUACUCAUUUGGUUAAAAUGCUGUUACUCUCUAAAUAGCCCUAUUACAUGUGAAAUAGGGAUACAGUAUAAAUUAGUGCUUGAAAAGGGUUUUGCAAUACACAUAAUCAUAACUUGCCAUCUCACCAAACUCAUUUAUAAAUGUUUAUCAUGACAUGAACACUCAACUAACUGUUAGUGAUUUGUAUGGAUGCAAUUUUAGUGUACAGAAGCAGUCCCUGGGGUAACAGCAUUCCCAGUUCUACAUUGCUGUGCUUUGCCUGAGCAGCCACUGCACGUCACUGUUGUUCCACACAGGAGAGUCAACAGAGCCUCAUUUGUGUGAGCAGGAAGCAGGACUUGGAGAGUCUCUUUGCUUUUUCAAUCAAGGGAAGAAAAUGUGCUACAAACCAAGGGAUGGAGCUUGCAGAAGUCAAGGAGGAUUUUUUUCCCCAGGACUGAAGGGAGGUCAUACCUGUCACUCCUGCUUUUCAUUUGCCUGUGCAAAAAGGCUUUAUCCAUCUUCUAUCUUUAAAGGUGUAAAAAGAGAAUGGUCAUUACCCAGGGAUACAAAGAUCCGGAGGGAAUGGCCUGCUCUUCACACGCCCUGUGUGAACCCUGACAAAUCACUAAACCUCUUGAUGCUCAAGUACUGCAGCACUGACACCAUACCCUGCCUCACCGCGUUACUGUGAGGGCUGAAAUUAAGGGUAUGAGAUACUCAGAUAUAACUGUAAGAGCAACAUCAUGUAAACCUCCUUAGAUGUGGAACAUUUUUUCCUUUCAAGUGAAGGGGAAAUUUUGGAGAGUUAGUCUGUCAUUUUAGAAAUAAAGAGCUUGAGAAUUUGGCAUGAUUGCUAAGCCUAAAAAGGCAGGUACAACCAGUGGUCUGAAUGAUGUUUUUCUAGAAGCACAACACUCCUAA
Molecule: RNA transcript, 4862 nt
Organism: Columba livia (rock pigeon)
Lineage: Eukaryota; Metazoa; Chordata; Aves; Columbiformes; Columbidae
Gene: TMEM114
Gene name: transmembrane protein 114
Exons: 7
Source: RefSeq, a predicted model, not a curated record